GGAGGGGCUGUGGCUCAAUGGCAGAGCACCUGCUGAGCAUGCAGAAGGAUCCUGGGUUCAUGCAGAAGCUCCCGGGGUUCAAUCCCCGGUCUCUCCA
This 97-nucleotide transfer RNA is filed under the name Sphaerodactylus townsendi. RNAcentral describes it as "tRNA-Ala". The record is from RNAcentral. Lineage: Eukaryota; Metazoa; Chordata; Lepidosauria; Squamata; Sphaerodactylidae.